Molecule: long non-coding RNA, 1617 nt
Organism: Oryzias sinensis (Chinese medaka)
Lineage: Eukaryota; Metazoa; Chordata; Actinopteri; Beloniformes; Adrianichthyidae
Source: Ensembl
AUGAGGGAGCAGGGGAAAACAAAAAGACGUGGGGAUGCUCGUAUUUCGUGGCCAAAGUUUCCUUCCUUCGGAAAAGGACGAAAGUCUCGUUUUACAAGGUCUCACAGUUCCUCUGAAGCCGAUGAGCAGAGAAAGCUUGAGCUGAGUCCAACAACAAGCGACACAGAGUCACCGAUAAAAUCCCAGGACGCUCUAAAAGGAAAGAAGAAGCAUAAAUUAAAGCUCUCUGCUCUGAAAAAGAGAGGCCGCAUCAGUUCAUCUGAAGACACGGAAGCUCCAACCACCGCCCCCAUCAGUGGAGACGCUCAGCAAGCACAGGAAUCAGACAUGCUCUCACCAGAGUCCCUGGAAGGCCUCAUAGCAGAGACAGCAGAAGGUAAUAAGACAGAGGACUUAAAGAUGGACAAGGAAACAGAACAAAACAACCAGACAGACCCAAUUCUUCCUCAAACGGUCGAGCUCAUCAGCUUAGAUAGCACUUUGAAAACAGAAGACCCCACUGUGUGUCCAACCGACCACAAAAGCCCCUCUGAAGCCAAGCCUACUGACGGGAAGAAAAAGAAGACAGAUAGGUUGGAGUUAAAGAUGAAGAUUUUGGGGAAGGACAGGUUGCACAAAAAAGAUGCCAAGGUAGUUUCGUCACCAAAAAGGCUAAAAACUCUUGGAGCAAGUCUUGAAAAGGAACAUCAACCGGAAAGUGAAGAUUCACAAAAACCAACUGUUGAAAAACACACAACUGAGGGCACAAAGAUCAUAGAAGAUCCUUAUGAGAGGCUUUCAAAAGGUGCUGGUUCUACUGCAGAACUUCCCAAGAGAGAAGACAUUAUGAUACCAGGCAUGGAGGACAUGUCCUUGAGCACAGCCGCAGGGGUUAAAGAGCCUUUCAGAGAUGACAGUGAGGAAAAUCACUCAGAAGCGGUCCAACUGUCAUUUGAUGUUAAGAGCGUGAAGGAGGCGGUUUCAAAGCUGCCUGGAUUUAAGUUGCCUCAAGUUGACACGUCUGGGGUUCUGAUUCCCGAAGACAUUACUGUGAUCGAUGCAAACGCUCAGAGGAUUUCUGUGAAAACGCCCACCAAAGUGUCAGAAACCAAAGCAAAGCAGGAGGCACAGCAGGCAACAUCUGACCGGAAGGAAACCUCCUUUCCUACAGGGAAAACAGCAACAACAGCAUCUGCUGAUUUAACCUCAGAGGGGCUUUUAGGAGAGACCACAGGAGAUGCCACAGAACCUCAAAAUAAAACCAAAAGUCAGUCAAAAGAAGACGACACGACCCACACCUUCAAAAGAGAACAGAUCACAGUAUCUUGGGUGGAAACUCCUCAAAAGCUAUCAAUUCUUCAUAAGCAUGGAACUGAAAAAGCAAGCAGCACAACUGAUGUGACAUCAGAAAAUGACUCAGUGAAAGAGUCUAACCAAAUAACAGACCGCACAACCAUGAUAAGAGACAGCUUCAGGACAGGAACCCAAGAUACAAGAACAUCUGACUUUAGGACGACUUUAACAAACCAAGAGUUGACAGCCAGAACAGACAUCCGCAGCAUCCAAACAUCUGAAAUGAGUGGCAUUAAGGUGGAUUCCUUGGUAGAUGGGUCCACAGCCAAAAAGGACAGCAGCUGC